This 377-nucleotide ribosomal RNA is filed under the name uncultured eukaryote. Its description in RNAcentral is "partial 18S ribosomal RNA". It matches the Rfam family "Eukaryotic small subunit ribosomal RNA", at positions 592 to 976 of the family's 1831-position model. The record is from RNAcentral.
CAAUAGCGUAUAUUAAAGUUGUUGCAGUUAAAAAGCUCGUAGUUGGAUUUCGGGGUGGCCUGGCUGGUCCGCCGCAAGGUGAGUACUGGUCAGCCGCCCUUCCUCUCGAAAGCCCCGACUGCUCUUUACUGCAGUGGUCGGGUAGUUCGGGACGUUUACUUUGAAAAAAUUAGAGUGUUCAAGGCAGGCUAUCGCCUGAAUACAUUAGCAUGGAAUAAUGGAAGAGGACCUCGGUCCUAUUUUGUUGGUUUCUAGGGCCGAAGUGAUGAUUAAGAGGGACAGUUGGGGGCAUUCGUAUUUAAUUGUCAGAGGUGAAAUUCUUGGAUUUAUGAAAGACGAACUAGUGCGAAAGCAUUUGCCAAGGAUGUUUUCAUUAA